This 189-nucleotide ribosomal RNA is filed under the name Staphylococcus aureus. Its description in RNAcentral is "partial 16S ribosomal RNA". It matches the Rfam family "Bacterial small subunit ribosomal RNA", at positions 1 to 183 of the family's 1533-position model. Lineage: Bacteria; Bacillati; Bacillota; Bacilli; Caryophanales; Staphylococcaceae. The record is from RNAcentral.
UAAUUGAAGAGUUUGAUCAUGGCUCAGAUUGAACGCUGGCGGCAGGCCUAACACAUGCAAGUCGAGCGGUAACAGGAGAAAGCUUGCUUUCUUGCUGACGAGCGGCGGACGGGUGAGUAAUGUAUGGGGAUCUGCCCGAUAGAGGGGGAUAACUACUGGAAACGGUGGCUAAUACCGCAUGACGUCUAC